This 415-nucleotide long non-coding RNA is filed under the name Capsicum annuum. RNAcentral's name for it is "long non-coding RNA (CANN_LNC009824)". Lineage: Eukaryota; Viridiplantae; Streptophyta; Magnoliopsida; Solanales; Solanaceae. The record is from RNAcentral.
AGUAGCAGUCCCUAUAUUCCAGAACAAUGUAGCUAGCGUGGGUUAUGAGGAGUCACCCAUCAGUUUAGCCUUGAAUACCUCCUAGGGGUCACCCAUCAGUUUAGGCUUGACUCUGCCCAGGGAUCACCUGUCAGUGUAGGCUUGAUAUCCUAGUUCUUCAGUAGCUUAGUGAGUCCACACAACCAUUGUUACUACCUUUGGUCUAGUACUGACACCCUUUCAACUGGGUCAGAGUUUAGAACCUAAUCAGCUUAUAAUGGGGCAUGUCGAUUAGAUGAUAUCUCCCACAGUCUCAGUUCAGUACUCAGUAUAGAAUUCAUUUUAUAUUGCUUGACCAAGGCAUACAUAUUAUCAGUUAUUCAGUUAUCAAGUUUCAAUAGUCUUACAAAUUAUUUCAGAAACAUUAUAUGGCUGA